RNAcentral lists this ribosomal RNA (497 nucleotides) under uncultured bacterium. Its description in RNAcentral is "partial 16S ribosomal RNA". It matches the Rfam family "Bacterial small subunit ribosomal RNA", at positions 28 to 507 of the family's 1533-position model. The record is from RNAcentral.
GAUGAACGCUGGCGGCGUGCCUAAUACAUGCAAGUCGAGCGAACGGACGAGAAGCAUGCUUCUCUGAUGUUAGCGGCGGACGGGUGAGUAACACGUGGAUAACCUACCUAUAAGACUGGGAUAACUUCGGGAAACCGGAGCUAAUACCGGAUAAUAUUUUGAACCGCAUGGUUCAAAAGUGAAAGACGGUCUUGCUGUCACUUAUAGAUGGAUCCGCGCUGCAUUAGCUAGUUGGUAAGGUAACGGCUUACCAAGGCAACGAUGCAUAGCCGACCUGAGAGGGGGGUAGCCGACACUGGAGCGUGACCGCGGUCAAGACGCCUACGGGAGGCAGCAGUAGGCAAUCUUCCGCAGUGGGCGAGAGCCUGACGGAGCAACGCGGCGUGAGUGAUGAAGGUCUUCGGAUCGUAAAACUCGGUUAUUAGGGAAGAACAGAUGUGGAAGGAGCUGUGCACAGCGUGACGGUACCUAGUCAGAAAGCAACGGCUAACUACGUG